This 427-nucleotide ribosomal RNA is filed under the name uncultured prokaryote. RNAcentral describes it as "bacterial SSU rRNA". It matches the Rfam family "Bacterial small subunit ribosomal RNA", at positions 355 to 774 of the family's 1533-position model. The record is from RNAcentral.
CUAAGAAUAGGCCGAAAGGGACGAAAGUCUGACGGAGCGACGCCGCGUGGAUGAAGAAGGCCGCAAGGUUGUAAAAUCCUUUUGCUGGGGAAGAAUAAGCGCAGGAGGGAAUGCCUGCGUGAUGACAUGAACCGGCGAAUAAGCCCCGGCCAACUACGUGCCAGCAGCCGCGGUAACACGUAGGGGGCAAGCGUUGUUCGGAAUUACUGGGCGUAAAGGGCAUGUAGGCGGUUUAGUAAGCUUGGCGUGAAAGACCACGGCUUAACUGUGGGGUUGCGUUGAGAACUGCUGAACUUGAGUUACGGAGAGUGAGCUAGAAUCCCUGGUGGAGGGGUGGAAUCUGUAGAGAUCAGGAAGAAUACCGAUGGCGAAGGCAGGCUGCUGGCCGAUAACUGACGCUGAGGUGCGAAAGUGUGGCGAUCAAACA